RNAcentral lists this long non-coding RNA (2398 nucleotides) under Fragaria vesca (wild strawberry). RNAcentral describes it as "long non-coding RNA (FVES_LNC000903)". Lineage: Eukaryota; Viridiplantae; Streptophyta; Magnoliopsida; Rosales; Rosaceae. The record is from RNAcentral.
AGGAACACGGUGGAUGCAACGCAAAGGGGACAGGCGAGACAAGCCUGUCAACUUCAUCUUUAGGGUUUCCAACGGAUUUUCUAUGUCAUGAGUAGAAGCAGUUACAUCACUUCCUCCCAUUUCCACCCUACAUGUAUGUUUUCACAAAGUUAAACUCGAUCACUAGUUUUUAAAUAGGAUUAAUUUUAGUUUACACCCCUAAGUUUUAGGGUUAACAUCAUUUCACUCUCCAUGUUUUUAAUUUAAAAAAUUUACCCCCUAAAAUUUUCAAUUUUCAUAAAUCAUGUCUAAUUAUUGAAAUUUCGUCUAAUUCAGAUAUAAAUUUUGACUUCAUAACUCACUAAAAGGGCUAAAAUAGUCUUAUAACAACAUAAAUCGUCUUUUAGAAUUUUUUUUUCUUCUAAGAUUUCAUGUCAUCAUUUAACCUUUAAAUUAGACGAAAUUUUAAUACCUGUGUCUGAUUUAUGAAAAUUGGAGACUUUAGACAGUAAAUUUUUAAAAUUAAAAGUAUGGGGAGUGAAACGAUGUUAAUCUCAAACCUUAAGGGGGUAAACUAAAAUUAAUCCUUACAAAUAUGUAUUUCAAUAGUUUCAAAAAAUUUAAACUACUAAAACGCACAAAGUUAUUGAACUUAUUGUGUUUUGGUAUAAAACAAUCAACACUUCAUGCAUUACAUACAUGAUACACGUACAACGUCUCUCUCAAAAAUUCAGAAUUUUGUUUUGGGUUUUCUCUCGAAGAUUCUUUUAUGCACCAGCUGAUAGUCAUUAUGCAAUUUCAGCCAUUCAUUUUAUCUAAAUGUCUAUAUGGCACAAACUUCAAUGUUAACACCGUAAAGAACUGAAAAGAAAAAAAAAUCUAGUUAACAUGGUAAAAAAGCAAAAGUAAAUAUCAUUUCAUUAAUUAAACAAGAUGGGUAAAAGAGGAAAAAUUUUCUGAAAUUAGGAUUGCUUUUCUGGCAUCGAGGUCUUUGAGGUUCAAUCAGAUCUCCGACCAUUUGCCAAAAGAAAAAAAAUCAGAUCUCAAACCAAGAAAAAGAGAGGUUCAAUCAGAUCGAAGAGGAGGGAAUUGGGGUCUCCGCGGCUCCUCCGCCGGCGCCGGGCAAGCAUUGAAGUCAGAAACGAAAGGUCCAGCCCUUUCUCUAUAUCCGACUUUUGUCAAGAUGAGUUGCGGCAGCCAUGGGGUCCUGAUGUGAAUCUAUUAGUGGAUUUAGAGAAUCAAUGGAAGCAAUUGGAAGCAACUGAUGCAAUUUUGAAUGAUUUGUCAAGAAUCGUGGAUCUAGGGUUUGGGUUUCCUAUCCAUUCUUGAUGUUCGUAAUCUUCGUGCGGUCGAUCUCGGCCUUGAUGAUGAGGGCUACGGCGGAGGAGACGAAGAAGAAGUUGACCAUCCAGACCUUGGCGGGCUCUUUGGACGACGGAGGAUGGAGAGGCUGGGUUUUGGGGAUCGGACGGGGAGGUGGGCAGAGCCAGUUCGAUUUCUUUACUGCAGUCCUGGGUUUUUACUGCAAUUUGAUUUUUUUGUACUAAGAUUUCGAACAAACAAAAAAACAUCGUAGUAAAAUACCAAAUAAUGUCUUAAAAUAUAGAAUUUGAACAAAGAUAAUCCAUGAUCAAGUCAGUGAUCAAGCGUACGCACCUUGUGUGUAAUGAAGAAGCCAAGAGCUGGGAACUCGAUCGAUUGCUUAAGAUAUACUACUAUUUUACUCGUGCUCUUGGAGUUGGCAGAUGAAAGAGUACUGUUUUUCUUAGUAAUAGAAGCACUAGGUACCAGGUACCAACCUCAUCAGGGGCUAUACAUAUAUAUAACCUACAAGCACUAACAACUUAUAAUAGAAGCAUUAAAUAGGAAAACUGUUGGAGAUGUUCUAAGUCUUCGUCUUCGUUCUAAGUCUUCGUCUUCGUUUAAUGUGGGGACUCAACUUGAUGGAUUGGGUUUUAGUAGCACAUGGUUACACACUUAUUAUAGUAGGGACUACUUUUUUUGGAAGAACAUAUUAGGGACUAGUUCAGAGUACAAUAUGUGGAUAUUAGCUUCCUUUCAGCUUGUUGUUGGGAUCAUGAAGCUAGCCCUUCACAUCACAAUACUUGUGGCACUCUUUGCUGUUCAAUGAGGACGAAUACUACUACUGACAACCAUGUGGAGGCUUUGAAGUGAGGAACAAUAAGGUUUACUAAUUCCAUGUGGUUUUGUGAAGUAGUACGUACUUUCCAUGCCAUACCUAUUGGGAUACAACUUCUUGUUUAUGUUCAAGAAUAAUUACACAUUUUUCUGCUCUUUGCAAGAGUCAUUGAUGAACUGCCCAGAUUACUGAUGAGAAAAACCGGAGAUUCUUCAGUGCACCCAUUGAAGCCUCACCAACGGUUAGUUAACUGCGCGUGGAUGAACACGCUUAAUGGAU